CGUUUAGUGAGAGUGAGGCCAGGGAAAAAAAGGAAGAGACGCCAAUGAAUGUGGCACAAAAUGGAGGCGAAUACCACAUAUUCAACUGAGCAGCUUCUUUGCACAGCAAGGUUACAAUUUUAACAACAUUUGCUUUAUCUGAAGAAUUGCGUGCAACACACACUGUCAUUAUUUUGGUCGUUACAAUUGGUACCAGAGAUUACACAUUUCCACUUAGCAUAACAGAUGCCCAGGUGUUUCUUCUUUUAUAGCCAGCUAAGUGGUAAAAAUAUGGUCAGUUUCUUCCUCUUCCUAUCUUCAAUCCUUUGACCUUAUUUCUUUCUAGUGUUACUCAAAAAUGGGCAGAUCAAGCGGCUUAUUCUUUG
Molecule: long non-coding RNA, 365 nt
Organism: Panicum virgatum (switchgrass)
Lineage: Eukaryota; Viridiplantae; Streptophyta; Magnoliopsida; Poales; Poaceae
Exons: 2
Source: RefSeq, a predicted model, not a curated record